ACUACACUCGAGAAUAGCACAGUGACUAACACACUGAACAAACACCACCCCUCCCGCCAAACUCAAAACCCAAAACCCUAAUCCACCCUUCAACCUCACUCUCUCCCCAUUCAACCUCAAAUCAAACCCCCACUUUUCCAACCCACACCCCCACCAUGAGUUUCGCCGCAUACAAAAUGAUGCAACACCCAACCGGAAUCGACAACUGCGCUUCCGGUUACUUAACCCACUCCCGCUCCGAUUUCACUCCUCGUAUCCCUCCUCCUGAUUCCGAUGACCUUGACGCCUCCGAUUGGGCCCCGCAACGCGACGUUGCGACAUUUCCGAAUCUUGUCGUUACUGCCGCGAAUGUGCUUGAGGUUUAUGUCGUGAGAAUUCAACAUGAUGUGGCAAAGGGGAAGUUGAAUGCGGAUUCUAGGGUUCUUGAUGGGGUGAAUGGUGCCAAUCUUGAACUCGUUUGUCAUUACAGGUUGCAUGGCAAUGUUGAAAGUGUGGCUGUGUUAAGUGUUGGUGGUGGUGAUGCUUCUAGGAGGCGAGAUUCUGUCAUCUUAACUUUUAAAGAUGCAAAGAUUUCAGUUCUAGAGUAUGAUGAUUCUAUCCACGGACUUCGUACCAGUUCUUUGCAUUGUUUUGAGGGUCCAGAAUGGCUUCAUUUGAAAAGAGGCAGAGAACAAUUUGCAAGAGGUCCGGUGGCGAAGGUUGAUCCUCAAGGCAGGUGUGGUGGAGUUCUUGUCUAUGAUUUGCAAAUGAUAAUACUGAAGACUUCUCAGGCUGGUUCUGGUUUAGUUGGGGAGGAUGAUGUAUCGGGUUCUGGAGGUGCAGUUGCUGCUCGUGUUGACUCAUCUUAUCUGAUAAAUCUGCGUGACUUGGAUAUGAGGCAUGUCAAAGAUUUCACAUUUCUUCAUGGCUAUAUUGAACCUGUGAUGGUGAUAUUGCAUGAACAUGAGCUUACUUGGGCUGGGCGUGUUUCAUGGAAACAUCAUACUUGCACGAUAUCAGCACUUAGCAUCAGCACAACGUUGAAGCAGCAUCCACUUAUUUGGUCAGCUAUUAAUCUCCCCCAUGAUGCCUACAAGCUUCUUGCAGUGCCCUCGCCAAUUGGUGGUGUUCUUGUCAUUGGUGCGAACACUAUUCAUUAUCACAGUCAGUCUGCUUCAUGUGCAUUGUCCUUGAAUAGCUACGCUGUUCCCCUUGAUAAUAGUCAGGAGAUGCCAAGAUCGAGUUUCAAUGUGGAACUUGAUGCUGCCAAUGCAACUUGGUUAUUGAAUGACGUAGCCUUGCUGUCAACAAAAACUGGUGAACUGCUAUUGCUUACUCUUAUUUAUGAUGGAAGGGUUGUACAGAGACUUGAUCUUUCCAAGUCAAAAGCUUCAGUUCUAUCAUCUGGUGUUACGACAAUCGGAAAUUCUAUGUUUUUUCUCGCCAGUCGAUUAGGAGACAGUAUGCUGGUGCAAUUUUCUUGUGGAUCGGGUGUUUCAAUGUUAUCGUCCAAUCUAAAAGAAGAGGUUGGUGAUUAUGAUGUAGAUGCUUCUUCAGCAAAGAGAUUGCGGAGGUCACCUUCUGAUACUUUACAAGAUAUGGUCAGUGGUGAGGAGCUUUCCUUGUAUGGGUCUGCUCCAAAUAGAACAGAAUCAGCACAGAAAUCCUUCUCGUUUGCAGUGAGGGAUUCAUUGAUUAAUGUUGGUCCUUUGAAAGAUUUCUCGUACGGUUUAAGAAUAAAUGCUGAUGCAAAUGCUACGGGGAUAGCCAAACAGAGUAACUAUGAAUUGGUGUGUUGUUCUGGUCAUGGAAAAAACGGUUCUCUUUGUGUUCUUCGACAAUCAAUUUGCCCAGAAGUGAUUACUGAGGUUGAGCUUCCUGGUUGCAAAGGAAUAUGGACUGUUUAUCAUAAGAGCACACGUUCACUUAAUGCUGACUCUUCUAAGCUGGAUGAAGAUGAGUAUCAUGCAUACCUUAUUAUAAGUUUGGAGUCUCGUACUAUGGUACUAGAAACAGCUGAUGUUCUGAGUGAGGUUACUGAAAGUGUUGACUACUAUGUUCAAGGAAAAACGCUUGCUGCCGGGAAUUUAUUUGGGAGACGCCGUGUUAUUCAAGUCUAUGAACGUGGUGCUCGAAUUCUGGAUGGCUCUUUUAUGACCCAAGAUGUAAGCUUUGGAGCUUCUAACUCUGAAUCUAAUUAUGGAUCUGAGAGUGCUUUGGCACUAUCCGUUUCAAUAGCUGAUCCAUACAUCUUGCUCAGAAUGAGUGAUGGAAGUGUUCGACUUUUGGUUGGAGAUCCUAGCACCUGCAACAUUUCUGUCACUUCUCCAACUUCAUUUGAGAGUUCAAAGGGACCAGUUUCAUCAUGUACACUCUACCAUGAUAAAGGACCCGAGCCAUGGCUAAGGAAAACAAGUACUGAUGCAUGGCUUUCUACUGGUGUCGGCGAGGCCAUUGAUGGUACUGAUGGUGCAGUUCAGGACCACGGGGAUGUUUAUUGUGUUGUAUGUUACGAAAAUGGCAACCUUGAAAUAUUUGAUGUGCCCAAUUUCAGUUGUGUUUUUUCUGUGGAAAACUUUCUGUCUGGAAAGAGCCAUCUUGUUGAUGUUCUCACAAAAGAGGUGCCAAAGGAUUCCCAAAAGGGGGAUAAAGUUUCUGACGGAGUGGUCAGCCAAGACAGGAAGGAUGCCCUGAAUAUGAAGGUUGUGGAGUUGGCCAUGCAGAGAUGGUCAGGGAAGCAUAGCCGACCAUUUCUUUUUGGGAUUUUGAGUGAUGGAACAACUCUUUGUUAUCAUGCAUACCUUUAUGAAAGUCCAGACGGUACUUCUAAGGUUGAGGAUUCUGUAUCAGCUGGCGGGCCUGGUGGCCUUACCAAUACUAGUGUUUCUCGGCUUAGAAAUUUGAGAUUUGUUCGUGUGCCCUUAGAUGUACAUGCCAGGGAGGAGACAUCAAAUGGAUCACCUUGUCAACAAAUAAAUAUUUUCAAGAAUAUUGGUAGCCAUGAAGGAUUCUUCCUAUUGGGGUCAAGACCGGCUUGGGUUAUGGUUUUGAGAGAACGGCUUCGUGUUCAUCCACAGCUAUGUGAUGGGUCUAUUGUUGCUUUUACUGUCCUUCACAACAUAAACUGCAAUCAUGGUCUCAUAUAUGUUACUUCACAGGGUGUUUUAAAGAUAUGCCAAUUGCCUUCUGGCUCAAACUAUGAUUGUUUCUGGCCUGUACAGAAAGUUCCUCUAAAAGCUACCCCACAUCAAGUAACCUACUUUGCAGAGAAGAAUUUGUAUCCGAUUAUUGUUUCAUUUCCUGUUCUUAAGCCACUAAAUCAAGUCAUUGCUUUAGUUGACCCAGAUGCCAACAAUCUGACUGAGAAUCAGAAUUUGAAUUCUGAUGACCAAAACCACUUUUAUUCCAUUGAAGAAUUUGAGGUUCGUAUUAUGGAGCCAGAAAAAUCUGGUGGCCCUUGGCAAACGAAGGCAACAAUACCCAUGCAAAGUUCAGAAAAUGCUCUCACUGUGAGGAUGGUUACACUGAUGAAUACAUCGUCAAAAGAAAACGAAACACUUUUAGCCAUUGGUACUGCUUACGUGCAAGGAGAGGAUGUCGCUGCAAGAGGGCGUAUACUCUUGUUCACUUUGGGGAAAAAUACUGAUAAUCCACAAACUCUGGUUUCAGAGGUGUACUCGAAAGAAUUAAAAGGUGCUAUAUCUGCCAUGGCCGCACUUCAGGGUCAUCUAUUAGUAGCAUCUGGUCCAAAAAUUAUCCUGCACAAGUGGACUGGCACUGAGUUGAAUGGUGUUGCAUUUUUUGAUGUGCCACCGUUGCAUGUUGUGAGCUUAAAUAUUGUAAAAAACUUCAUCCUAAUUGGCGACAUCCAUAAAAGCAUAUAUUUUCUUAGUUGGAAAGAGCAGGGUUCUCAGCUUAGCUUAUUAGCUAAGGAUUUUGGUUCUCUUGAUUGUUUUGCAACAGAAUUUUUGAUUGAUGGAAGUACUCUGAGUCUCAUGGUUUCAGAUGAUCAAAAAAAUAUCCAGAUUUUUUACUAUGCACCGAAGAUGUUAGAGAGUUGGAAAGGACAGAAGCUUCUUUCAAGAGCUGAAUUUCAUGUCGGGGCACACGUGACUAAAUUCUUAAGGCUUCAGAUGUUAUCCACUUCUGAUCGAACUGGUUCAGCUCCAGGCUCAGAUAAAACCAAUCGUUUUGCCUUGUUAUUUAGUACAUUGGAUGGUAGUAUUGGCUGCAUUGCUCCUCUUGAUGAGAUCACAUUCCGUAGACUGCAGUCUUUGCAGAAAAAGCUCAUUGAUGCUGUAUCCCACGUUGCUGGUCUAAAUCCAAGAGCUUUCAGACUAUUCCAUUCUAAUGGAAAGGCCCAUCGUCCAGGCCCUGACAGUAUAGUUGACUGCGAGCUGCUAUGCCAUUAUGAAAUGCUUCCAUUGGAGGAACAGCUUGAAAUUGCUCACCAGGUUGGAACAACUCGAUCACAAAUUCUCUCAAAUCUAAAUGAUCUAUCUCUUGGAACAAGCUUCUUGUAAGAACGGUCAUCGUUUGUAAAUCGAGAAACAAGGCUGCCCAUGUCUUGCCAAGUAUUUGGCGGAGUUAUUCUCUUCAAUAAAGUUGCAUUUAUCUUUAAUUGCUUCAACAUGGUCAAAAGCUUGGGCAAAGUCAUCUGGCAGUGGAUACAGGCAGCCUUUGGACAGUGAUGUCCAAAAUUGAUUCCGAUGAUAGGUUUCAUAUUCUGUAUAUCAAGGAUUAAAUUGUACUUAUCCUCCAUCGUAGAGCAAUUAAUGGAAAGGCCAAAGUGGGAUGUAAUGUAAUGUAACAAUCAUAUUUUCUAGGCUUGGGUCAGAAGGAUGAGUGUGCCAAAUUCCCAAGUGGGAUGUGAUGUAAUGUAACAUGAAUUUUGUUAAUUUGUUCACCUAGAAAAGCAAGUUAGAAAACUGAACCAUUAGAAUGUAGGUUCUUUUCUGUAUGUCAGCAUUUAGAAUUCUUUGUUGUAACAUUAUGUAAUUAGUCUUUAUUCUCCGCAUCAAAAUAUGAAGGUUUAGUUACAAAUGAAUGACAUUGUAAUUUAAUUGCCAUAUAUUAUUUGUUUGUCCCUGUAGAAUAAAACUGUCUGAAACUGGGCUUUUUUGCUGCUGCAAUGCGCCCAAUUUUUUUGA
Medicago truncatula (barrel medic) is the source of this 5129-nucleotide RNA transcript. It is a transcript of the gene named cleavage and polyadenylation specificity factor subunit 1, with no coding region annotated. Lineage: Eukaryota; Viridiplantae; Streptophyta; Magnoliopsida; Fabales; Fabaceae. The transcript has 27 exons. The record is from RefSeq and is a predicted model, not a curated record.